UACUCCUACGGGAGGCAGCAGUGAGGAAUAUUGGUCAAUGGGCGAGAGCCUGAACCAGCCAAGUCGCGUGAAGGAAGACGGCCCUACGGGUUGUAAACUUCUUUUGCAAUGGAAUAAAAAGAGUUACGUGUAAUUCAUUGUAUGUACAUUGCGAAUAAGGAUCGGCUAACUCCGUGCCAGCAGCCGCGGUAAUA
This 194-nucleotide ribosomal RNA is filed under the name uncultured bacterium. RNAcentral's name for it is "partial 16S ribosomal RNA". It matches the Rfam family "Bacterial small subunit ribosomal RNA", at positions 334 to 525 of the family's 1533-position model. The record is from RNAcentral.